Molecule: long non-coding RNA, 836 nt
Organism: Pygocentrus nattereri (red-bellied piranha)
Lineage: Eukaryota; Metazoa; Chordata; Actinopteri; Characiformes; Serrasalmidae
Source: Ensembl
UGGCUCUAAAUGGCCUUAAUUCUGUCAUUAGGUGAGAGAGAAUAACGCAGGGAUUGGCCGGUCGGUCUGUUCCAUAUUCAGUAGCUCCGGAUGAGGCGGGGGGCCUGCUGGGAAAAUGGUGUCGUAAUCAGGAGCCCACCGCUCUGCCUGAUCAGCAGGACUCCCAUUGAGAUGUUGCUGAAGUUAACGUCCAAAUGCCCUGCAGACGUGGAAAGCUCUUCUUCAAGCCAUGCCUUUCCAUCCCACAAAGCCAUCAUUUGACUUUGAAGGUCCUUCCUCCUCGUUCUGCCCUUCCUUUGCCCUCAGAGGCCCAAGAUUAACUCAACACAUCAAAGAGCUGUUCCAUUCAAGCCUCGAUGUAGUACCCCCUCCCAGCACACACAUGCCCACAUGCACUUACCAUUAGAAAAAACUUUGGACCUUACCUUUCCCACCUAUUCUGUGGCCUUCAGCAUGCAGCAAGUUUUUCCCUGCCCACUGUUUGUUCUCCAUGCUGUAGGAAGCAGCAUGCUGGGUCACUUUCCCUUCACCUUUUGUGGUGUGGUCUUAAAUCCACCCUUAGUUGCUGGGGGCUAUGCUUGCAUCUCUCAAGAGCUGAUAUCGACAAUCUAGAUGGAAGCAGCCACCACCAGUGGAACGAUCAGGGCCAUGGGUCAAGCUGGUCACUUUUUCAGAGUGGUCAGUGUCCAGUGAGGCAGGUGAAGGGGGCAGCCCUUGUCACUGUGGGAAAGAGAGCAUCAAGAGGAAUUUGCAUGUAUGGCUCAGGUAACAUAGUGGGGGAAGGGUGGAGUGAGGAGACCAAAGCAGACAGAGUAACCCUGACCCUGAGGAAAAAG